RNAcentral lists this transfer RNA (72 nucleotides) under Strongylocentrotus purpuratus (purple sea urchin). It matches the Rfam family "tRNA". Rfam says of the family: Transfer RNA (tRNA) molecules are approximately 80 nucleotides in length. Their secondary structure includes four short double-helical elements and three loops (D, anti-codon, and T loops). The record is from Rfam by way of RNAcentral. Lineage: Eukaryota; Metazoa; Echinodermata; Echinoidea; Camarodonta; Strongylocentrotidae.
GAUUGGUGGCUCAGUGGUUAGAGCGCCCGUCUCAUGAACGGGAGGUCGUGGGUUCGAACCCCGGCCGAGUCA